AGAUUGAACGCUGGCGGCAUGCCUUACACAUGCAAGUCGAACGGCAGCACGGGAGCAAUCCUGGUGGCGAGUGGCGAACGGGUGAGUAAUACAUCGGAACGUGCCCAAUCGUGGGGGAUAACGCAGCGAAAGCUGUGCUAAUACCGCAUAAGAUCUACGGAUGAAAGCAGGGGAUCGCAAGACCUUGCGCGAAUGGAGCGGCCGAUGGCAGAUUAGGUAGUUGGUGAGGUAAAGGCGUCACCAAGCCUUCGAUCUGUAGCUGGUCUGAGAGGACGACCAGCCACACUGGGACUGAGACACGGCCCAGACUCCGUACGGGAGCAGCAGUGGGGAAUUUUGGACAAGUGGGCGAAAGCCUGAGUCCAGCCAUGACCGCGUGCAGGAUGAAGGCCUUCGGUUAGUAAACUGUAC
RNAcentral lists this ribosomal RNA (411 nucleotides) under uncultured soil bacterium. RNAcentral's name for it is "bacterial SSU rRNA". It matches the Rfam family "Bacterial small subunit ribosomal RNA", at positions 26 to 435 of the family's 1533-position model. The record is from RNAcentral.